AUGGAGCAUCAUUUUCAUUCAUUCUCAAGCACUCAGAGGCCCCUAGAACCUCUGCACAAAUUACAUUUUCCAAAGUUAAAAUUUUCAACACUUGAAAAUUUUAGCAACAAAACCUUGUCUGAGCUCACUUUGUUGAUCAAUUUCUCUCAAACCUUUGUGAAUCAAUACACCAUCUGCUCCAGAUCCGUAGAUGACAACCUCCUCUUUCCAAAUCAUCCUUAA
Non-coding RNA from Vicia faba (fava bean), 222 nucleotides. The record is from the annotation of a GenBank genome assembly. Lineage: Eukaryota; Viridiplantae; Streptophyta; Magnoliopsida; Fabales; Fabaceae.